RNAcentral lists this long non-coding RNA (215 nucleotides) under Elaeis guineensis (African oil palm). RNAcentral's name for it is "long non-coding RNA (EGUI_LNC037248)". The record is from RNAcentral. Lineage: Eukaryota; Viridiplantae; Streptophyta; Magnoliopsida; Arecales; Arecaceae.
GCCAGAGUAAGUGUAAAUACUAGAAAAGAGUUUUCACGAUAUUUACAAAUAAACUAGAGUCGAGUCAAUCUAGUAUAUGACUAACGAUGGAGUUUGAUGAGUUCUCCAUGACCUCCAUCAAGUUGAAACUCACGAUAGAGGGAUUGUAUCAUACGAUAACUGCACCUAAAGGUUCAUUUUUUUAUUCUACUGGGUUGCCACUAUAUGUUGCUAGA